This is a long non-coding RNA of Trichomycterus rosablanca, 479 nucleotides long. RefSeq lists it as uncharacterized. The record is from RefSeq and is a predicted model, not a curated record. Lineage: Eukaryota; Metazoa; Chordata; Actinopteri; Siluriformes; Trichomycteridae. The transcript is spliced from 4 exons.
CUGACCAUUGAAGAACAGCAUGAAACAAAGCAUGCAGAGAAACAGAUGGACUACAGUCAGUAAUUGCAGAACUACAAAGUGCUUCUAUAUGUGAUGCCAACCAAAACUAAGUUAUGGAGUAGACUGGACAUAAGGAACACACUUCAGGUGGGAGCAUCUUGUUGCAGUGAAAAAAGCUCAGGGUUGCCACUGAUUUUCCAUCACUGUGCCUCACUAUUGAAGAUAUGCAGCCAACCAAGCAUGAACUCCCAGUUCAUGCUCAGCAGGAGACCUGUCUAACUGAGUUACCUCUGCAAGUCCAGCACGCUGGUGGUUCUGACGGAAACCUGUUUACCCUCUCGAGGUUAAAGACUGCAAGUCGAGACUACAGUGCCAGCAAUGCUGCUCCUACUAGAUGAGAUGGAGCCCCUGGCAUGUUUGCACCAAAAAUGUCCAGAACGUACAACAGACUUUAUCACAGACUGGACUGAACAAAGAAG